Molecule: ribosomal RNA, 625 nt
Filed under: fungal endophyte
Lineage: Eukaryota; Fungi
Description: eukaryotic LSU rRNA
Rfam family: 5.8S ribosomal RNA (bases 181-334)
Source: RNAcentral
AUUAAAGAGUUCUAUAACUCCCAAACCCAUGUGAACAUACCUAACGUUGCCUCGGCAGGUCGCACCUACCUUGUAGCACCCUACCCUGUAGGGCCUACCCGGGAGGUGCGGGUAAGCCUGCCGGCGGCCCACCAAACUCUGUUUGAUAUUGAAUUCUGAACCUAUAACUAAAUAAGUUAAAACUUUCAACAACGGAUCUCUUGGUUCUGGCAUCGAUGAAGAACGCAGCGAAAUGCGAUAAGUAAUGUGAAUUGCAGAAUUCAGUGAAUCAUCGAAUCUUUGAACGCAUAUUGCGCCCAUUAGUAUUCUAGUGGGCAGGACCGUUCGAGCGUCAUUUCAACCCUUAAGCCUUCGUUGCUUAGUGUUGGGAGCCUACGGCAACGUAGCUCCUCAAAGUUAGUGGCGGAGUUGGUUCACACUCUAGACGUAGUAAUUUUUUAUCUCGCCUAUUAGUUGGACUAAUCCCCUGCCGUAAAACCCCUAAUUUAUCAAGGUUGACCUCGAAUCGGUUCAGACAAACUCGCUAAAUUGAAGCAUCUUAGUCAGCGAAGGAAAAGAAACCAACAGGGAUUGCCCUAGUAACGGCGAGUGAAGCGGCAACAGCUCAAAUUUGAAAUCUGGCCCU